AGUGAACGCUGGCGGUAGGCCUAACACAUGCAAGUCGAACGGCAGCACAGUAAGAGCUUGCUCUUACGGGUGGCGAGUGGCGGACGGGUGAGGAAUACAUCGGAAUCUACUUUUUCGUGGGGGAUAACGUAGGGAAACUUACGCUAAUACCGCAUACGACCUACGGGUGAAAGCAGGGGAUCUUCGGACCUUGCGCGUUUGAAUGAGCCGAUGUCGGAUUAGCUAGUUGGCGGGGUAAAGGCCCACCAAGGCGACGAUCCGUAGCUGGUCUGAGAGGAUGAUCAGACACACUGGAACUGAGACACGGUCCAGACUCCUACGGGAGGCAGCAGUGGGGAAUAUUGGACAAUGGGCGAAAGCAUGAUCCAGCCAUACCGCGUGGGUGAAGAAGGCCAUCGGGUUGUAAAGCACUUUUGUUGGGAAAGAAAAGCAGCAGGUUAAUACCCCGCUGUUCUGACGGUACCCAAAGAAUAAGCACCGGCUAACUUCGUG
RNAcentral lists this ribosomal RNA (492 nucleotides) under uncultured bacterium. Its description in RNAcentral is "partial 16S ribosomal RNA". It matches the Rfam family "Bacterial small subunit ribosomal RNA", at positions 29 to 507 of the family's 1533-position model. The record is from RNAcentral.